Molecule: unclassified non-coding RNA, 672 nt
Filed under: Sinodiaptomus sarsi
Lineage: Eukaryota; Metazoa; Arthropoda; Copepoda; Calanoida; Diaptomidae
Description: partial contains 18S rRNA, ITS1, 5.8S rRNA and ITS2
Rfam family: 5.8S ribosomal RNA (bases 322-474)
Source: RNAcentral
AAGGAUCAUUAUCGAUUUUCCCAGCUUGUGCGGGGAGAAGCGAAUAAAAACCUCGGGCUCCCAUGCCUUGGGACCUUGGCCUGUCUGCCAUUGUCCGCCAGGUCGGUCCUUGAGCGCUUGCGGCUAUUUGGCUGCUUGGGCUCGGCCGACCGCCCGGUCGGAGGUGCUGUGCGCCGUUGUCGAAUCCCAUUCGAAAGGCGGUAAUUCAGCRUUUAAAGAGCCUCGCCUCCGGCUCGGGUUCUGUGCUCCCCCUUGUUGGGCUUGUGGAAAACGGUACAGACAACAAACCUAACUGGCCUYAGMGCCGGAAACCCCAAAUACAACACUAUACAGUGGAUCAUUUGGCUCGGGGGUCGAUGAAGAACGGAGCUAACUCCGUGACGCAAUGUGAACUGCAGGACACAUGAACAUCGACAUUUUGAACGCAUAUUGCGGACAUGUGCUUGUUGCAUGUCCAUGUUUGGGUCAGGGUCGGUUGAACAUCCAUCAGAACGCUUGCUCGUGUUCUGCAAUGGGCUGUCCUGCCUCCUCCACCGGGGGAAGCGGGUAGCCUCAAGUUGACUUGUGCAGUGCUCUGCCGAAUGACUCUUGGGUCGUAAAAAGCCUGGGUCGCCUGCAGAUAAGCCUUCACAGGGGAUCGGCCGUUAGCUGAGGCUUCGGUYGUGACAAACU